UGAUAUGUUUGGUAUAUAUGGU
Molecule: microRNA, 22 nt
Filed under: Eptatretus burgeri (inshore hagfish)
Lineage: Eukaryota; Metazoa; Chordata; Myxini; Myxiniformes; Myxinidae
Description: Ebu-Mir-190-P6_5p (mature (guide))
Source: RNAcentral